This is a long non-coding RNA of Phyllostomus hastatus (greater spear-nosed bat), 1235 nucleotides long. RefSeq lists it as uncharacterized. The record is from RefSeq and is a predicted model, not a curated record. Lineage: Eukaryota; Metazoa; Chordata; Mammalia; Chiroptera; Phyllostomidae. The transcript is spliced from 3 exons.
UGGCCCGGUACCUGGGCGAGGUCUCGGCUUUGGGGCGACCUCAGUCCCGGCACCCAGCACCCAGCACCUGCCCAUGGCCUGGGCGCACCUGGGGCAGCUGCCCAGGGUGUCCGGUUUGCGUUACUCUGCUGUCUGGGUCUCAGCAGGAGAUCUGAUUUUGAUGGUCAGAUGGAUUUCCCACACGUUCCACCGCACGAGGUGUGGUUUGUUUCGUGACCGUGGGGCGUCGGCGGGCGGCUCGGCGGCAGUGCGGUGAGAAGCGUCCCACGGGAAGUCCCAGAGCCGGGCCACGCCGCGGCCUUGUCAAAACGAGGUUUGGACGGAUCAGCUCGGAGUCGCCGGGUCGCCUCUUCCCUUCUUGCUCCGCUUCCUUCCCGCAACACCCGUCCUCUCCUUCCCGGGGCCCUGAUCCGUCCAGCCUGCAGCCACCCAAGGACUCUCCGUCUGGUCCAACCACUCGUGGGAGGAGCGAUGUUUCGUGGGAAUCGGGCUUGUACCUCAGCUCUCUGAAUUCUGCCCGCCUGCCCCUAAGAUGAACUUGUAAUCAUCGAAUCUUUAGAAAGGCGACCAACGGGUCUGAAGUUCUCUCAGAGAGGAUGGUGGCCAAGCUGUCGGCUCGCUGGGUCCCCCUGGCCGUCCGAUGUCGCCAUGGCGCCUCUCACAGAGCCACGGUGAAUCCCCGUGUCCCACAUGCUCUGACACACGGGCACGGAGUGACCCCAUCGGCUCGGUUCUCCGGACCUGCCGCAGGGCCGGGGGGGCGGUGUCUCGCCCCGAAGGACCCUGACAGACACUCCCCAGGCUGCCGCUCAGCAGAAAACUGGCAUCCCUGAGAGGCAGGCAAAACUGCCUGCUGAAAUGGAGAGAGCAGGUCCCCGGAACUAGGUCGCGGUGACACUGGGGAACCUGCGUCGCUCCCUGGGCAGAAGCAGCUCCACUGUCGCUGCUGCUGCGGCUGCAGAGGGCACGCUCUGCACGGCUGUGGCAGCGGAGGCCGCCUGCUCCCUCCGCCUUCCCUUCUCCCUCCUUUCCUGCUUCGCCAGGGGGUGUCCCUCCCCUAGGCCUCCUGGAUGAGCCAGGCAGGGGGCUCUGAGCAUGGGGUCCCAUCCCAACCCACGCGUUGGCCUACAGACAUUCCAUUCCAGCUCUAAACGUUAGCUUUGCACACCCCUAAACAAAGUGCAUCGCCUGGUAAAAGAAAGCAUUACAUUUAAGAGUAAAUAAAAUUCACCUGA